RNAcentral lists this ribosomal RNA (459 nucleotides) under uncultured bacterium. RNAcentral's name for it is "partial 16S ribosomal RNA". It matches the Rfam family "Bacterial small subunit ribosomal RNA", at positions 339 to 795 of the family's 1533-position model. The record is from RNAcentral.
CUACGGGACGCUCCAGUGAGGAAUAUUGGUCAAUGGGCGCAAGCCUGAACCAGCCAAGUAGCGUGAAGGAUGACUGCCCUCUGGGUUGUAAACUUCUUUUAUAGGGGAAUAAAGUGCGCCACGUGUGGCGUUUUGUAUGUACCCUACGAAUAAGGACCGGCUAACUCCGUGCCAGCAGCCGCGGUAAUACGGAGGGUCCGAGCGUUAUCCGGAUUUAUUGGGUUUAAAGGGUGCGCAGGCGGGAUGAUAAGUCAGUUGUGAAAGUUGGACGCUCAACGUUCAAAUUGCAAUUGAAACUGUCAUUCUUGAGUGCAGUGGAGGUAAGUGGAAUUCGUGGUGUAGCGGUGAAAUGCUUAGAUAUCACGAAGAACUCCGAUUGCGAAGGCAACUUGCUAUACUGCAACUGACGCUCAUGCACGAAGGUGUGGGUAUCAAACAGGAUUAGAUACCCGGGUAGUC